RNAcentral lists this ribosomal RNA (478 nucleotides) under uncultured bacterium. RNAcentral's name for it is "partial 16S ribosomal RNA". It matches the Rfam family "Bacterial small subunit ribosomal RNA", at positions 28 to 523 of the family's 1533-position model. The record is from RNAcentral.
GACGAACGCUGGCGGCGUGCCUAACACAUGCAAGUCGAGCGAAGUGAGUACUACGGUACGAACUUAGCGGCGGACGGGUGAGUAACGCGUGGACAAUCUACCCUGUAGACUGGGAUAACACCUCGAAAGGGGUGCUAAUACCGGAUAAUGUCGAGAAGCGGCCUCGCUUUUCGAAGAAAGGAGAGAAUCCGCUAUAGGAGGAGUCCGCGUCCCAUUAGCUAGUUGGGGAGGGUAACGGCCCACCAAGGCGACGAUGGGUAGCCGGCCUGAGAGGGUGAACGGCCACACUGGAACUGAGACCAGGUCCAGACUCCUACGGGAGGCAGCAGUGGGGAAUAUUGUGCAAUGGGGGAAACCCUGACACAGCAACGCCGCGUGAGCGAAGAAGGCCUUCGGGUUGUAAAGCUCAAUAGUAUGGGAAGAUAAUGACGGUACCAUACGAAAGCCCCGGCUAACUACGUGCCAGCAGCCGCGGUAA